This 1073-nucleotide long non-coding RNA is filed under the name Trifolium pratense (red clover). Its description in RNAcentral is "long non-coding RNA (TPRA_LNC012041)". The record is from RNAcentral. Lineage: Eukaryota; Viridiplantae; Streptophyta; Magnoliopsida; Fabales; Fabaceae.
AAAAGAUUACAUCACAAAAUUGGUCUUUAUGCACUUUAAAAGAUCACAUCACAAAAUUCGUAUGAAAUGUUCUACGACGUUGUGCCAACCUUGAUUUUCCUUCAUAUCAAAGCUCUCGAGCAUUUAUGAAUGAAUCGGUGGAUAUGUAGUGGCAGAAAAAUCUGCUUUGGCAAAGAAGCAACUAGACUUAAAAUUAUGACACAAUAAAGGAGAAGAUUGCUUAUAAUGGAAAAAUGAAUAUUACUAUUUGCAUCGAGGUAAAUACAUAUAUUCAAAGUACUAUUUGCAGAUACUCAAAGAGCACCGUAACAAUGGAGCCAAAGUGAAACAAAUAGACGACAUCAACAUUUUUUUAAAAGAAAGAGUGAAAAAACAUCAAGCAAUAAUAAUUAUGAUAUCCCAACUAAAACGGGGCUUAUAACUACCACUUAUAAAAUACAGUCACUCAAAAUUUAUUGAUAUUGAAAAGAAGAAAAUUACAAAUUUGGAUGGACUACGCCAUUAUCCAAGAUAACGCACACAAGAUUUAUUAAUAUAUUUGCCUCAUUAAAAACCUUAUCAAAGAAAGUUCAACAGAACAAAACUUUGAUGAAGGAAAAAAGAGUACAAAUUUUACGAAUUUUUUUCAACAAUAACAAAAUUAAGAUAAACUUAUUCUAUUACGAUUAAAAUCAACCUUAUUCGGGACCAGCUGGCGGAGCAUCCCACCAACUAAGACGACAUUUACAUUUAUUAUAAAGGCAUUUUGGAACGAAAGGUGCACCACAAAAAUAGUUAUCACAUUCAGCUUGCUCCCGGCAAUAGUUAGUCCAACCCGCUGUGAUAACAACAACAAAGAAGAAACAAAUAUUACUUAAAGGAAUGAAAUAUUUUGUAUAAAAUAAAUAAGAAAAUUUAACAAAUACAAAAAUGGUUUACCAAAAACGCCGGCAUUUACUGAAAUAAAUAAGGACGUAAAGAGAAUUAUUAAAUAAACAAACUUAAUAAUUCCAGUCAUAUUUUUUCUUUUAAGCCGGCAACAAAUAGAAAUUUAUUGAUCACUUUUUGUUGUAAACGUCCUAUGUUUUAUUUAU